UGUGUGUGUGUGUAUGUGCGUGCACACACACACGUGGGCAAAACAUGGAAUGUGGUGGCUACAAGUAGUGGUUUUAACAAGUCCAGCUCUAGUUUGUCACAUACUACCCUUCCGAAUCAACUGUUCCAGUUAUGUUCAAUAAUAAUAAUUAAUAAUAAUAAUAAUAAUUAAUUAUAAUUUAUUUUACAAAUACUUACUCCAGAGGGGAGCUAAUGUCCCAGGCCCUUUUCCUGGUGGGAUCCUUAUCCACUCCACCUCCUUUCUGGCCAGGCCACACACCUUUCAGCCCUGUUUACUGAGCAGUGAGUUUAAUGAACAGAUCUCUAAUGCUCCACAUCAUUGCUGCAGUGCCCCGUGGUUCUGGCAGCCCUGAGGGAGAUGGGGAAGGAAGCUCAUCUCUGUGCUGGGCUCACUAUUACCACAGAAAACAUCUCAUAACCUCCCUGGUUUGAUUCUACUUGAGCUUUGCCAGUUUGAACCCUACCCUUGUAUGUUUUUUGAAUUUCUUGUUCUUUGGGUAUAGGUUCUGAGGCUUUGGGAAUAGCAACAAAUAUACAGUAAUUGUGUGUAAUCAUGAUUGGUAUGCGAAAAAUGCCUUUCACUUUAUUUUUACUGCAGUCUACUGUCUGUAUGGGUGCAUCUUAAAAUUCAGCCUUUUACUGAAGACUCCCUGAAUCUAUCUGCCCAAAGGGAAGUUGUUUAUUCAUUGGGUUGUAAGGUCCAAAGGGACAGGAAAUAUGACUCAUCCAUUGGUCCACCCUCUGCACAGGAUGCUGGGCAGAGUUCACGGGAGAUGCUUCAAAGCAUUUGUUGAGUGACUCAAUGAAUGAGCUCAUAUGCAAGAAUCAUAGUUUUCAUUCUCUCGGGGCUCCAAGCAAACCUGCCAUUGUGGGUCCUGAACCUGCUCAUUGGUCAGAAUGCUUCUGGAUUCUCCAUGAGAGUCACCUGGUCUGUCUUGACUUAUGAGUCCUGGAAGGGCAAGAUCCCUGUCUGUUUAAUUGCCUUCUCUCAAGUUUUGAAGCCAUGCUAAUUCUCUGAACAUGUUACUGACCUUCUUUGUGACCCUUCUAUUGCUUCUCUGCUCUCUAGUCUUCCAGUCGGUGUUUGCCCUAAGGGGCCACAGGAAGGAACCCCAACUGGAGGAUGCAGGAAAGAGCCAGCAAAUUCUAUGUCCUCCCACCCCACCCAAGUUUAUAAUCUGAUUCAGAGACAGAAUAUUCGGAAGAAAUUAAAUAGCAAAACGAAGGCAGAGGGACAGUGAGAUGAGUCAGUAGGUAACAGGCACCUGCCACCAGGCACAACAACUUGAGUUCAGUUCCUGGGACUCAGAUGUUGAAAGGAGAGCUGAUCCAGACAAGAUGUCCCCCAACCUCUGCGUGUGCACCCUGGCACACGUACACAGAUAACUAAACAUAAUUUAAAAGGUUCUGUUUUGAAAUCUUCAUAGAUAUAUUUACGAGUUCCUAGUGAAAGAUGUCAAGGUGACAUUCUUGGGAAUUUAGAGAUAAGAAAGGACCUGUGGGUCCCAGAUGCUGGAGACCCCUGUCAGGCAGAGCAGAAGUUAAGAAAAGGUCCCAGCACAGAGCAGCGGUGGCAUUUCUGGGCAGAGGAAAAGCACAUGAGAUAUGCAGACUGGGAGUGAGCACUAAGUAUGCUGAUUGAGCAAAAGGGUGAUGACUGUAGCCUAGCAGGAAGCAGCUUUUCCGAAUUGAGAGGGGAUUGUGAAAGCAUGCUGAUGACAAUGAUAAAUCAGACAGAAACCUGCAGGUUGCACAGCUCUCUCCUCAGCAAGCUCAGAGCAUGCUGGGAGCCCAGGGUUGCAGGGCAAGGACAGCAAUGUGGAAGUUUCUCAGUUCCUGAGAAAAGGGGCUGUGGAGUGUCCUCUGGCCUUGUUAGAAUUCACCUCUAGGAUACAUGGGCUUGUAGCUUGUGCACUGGGGAAUCUUUGCUGAGCUGGCUUGCAGAUUCUGCCUCAGUAGGGACUGAUGGCUGUCAGUGAGCGGAUAGCAAGUGACAAAAUCAGUUUGACAGAAGAGUGACAUUUAGGAUUGUCCCAUCUUCUAUUUGCUACAUUUAGAAAAUAAAAUAAAAUUGAUAACUGGGGUUUGGUGACAUGCAACUGCAAUCCUAGUACUUAACAGGCAGAGACAGGGGAAUCAGGAGUUCAAGGCCAGCAGUGGCUGCAUAAGAAGUUCAAGGUCAGCCUGAACUUCAGGAGACUAUUUCAGAAACAAAAC
RNAcentral lists this long non-coding RNA (2237 nucleotides) under Mus musculus (house mouse). RNAcentral's name for it is "long non-coding RNA chr1:159595147-159597384". The record is from RNAcentral. Lineage: Eukaryota; Metazoa; Chordata; Mammalia; Rodentia; Muridae.